This 256-nucleotide long non-coding RNA is filed under the name Bos taurus (domestic cattle). RNAcentral describes it as "long non-coding RNA NONBTAT018087". The record is from RNAcentral. Lineage: Eukaryota; Metazoa; Chordata; Mammalia; Artiodactyla; Bovidae.
GCUUCCCUCACACUUGGAGGAAAGACAGUUAAAAUUUCAACUCAUGAGUGCCCGUGCGGAUGCUCUUAAGACAAGGUAAAAAUGCAGUUGAAUUCAACACACUCUCAGACCUGACCCUCUGGAAAAUCUCUGCAAGGUCACAGCUCAUCAGUACCGUGACAAAACAAGGACACCCUAUAUAGUGUGAUUACUAUGGAGUAUUUCCGGAACAGCCUCGAAUGCAAAUAAAGUUCUAGUCUCCAAAAAUGCUCACUUG